Molecule: ribosomal RNA, 245 nt
Filed under: uncultured bacterium
Lineage: Bacteria
Description: partial 16S ribosomal RNA
Rfam family: Bacterial small subunit ribosomal RNA
Source: RNAcentral
UACGUAUGGGGCGAGCGUUGUUCGGAUUUAUUGGGCGUAAAGGGCGCGUAGGCGGUUCGGAAAGCCUGGUGUGAAAGACUCUGGCUUAACCAGGGGUGUGCGCUGGGAACUACCGGACUGGAGUUUAGGAGGGGAAGCUGGAAUUCCUGGUGUAGGGGUGAAAUCUGUAGAUAUCAGGAAGAACACCGGAGGCGAAGGCGAGCUUCUAUCCAUAGACUGACGCUGAGGCGCGAAAGCGUGGGGAG